UUACAGGCUUAACACAUGCAAGUCGAGGGGCAGCAUGGUCUUAUCUUGCUAAGGCCGAUGGCGACCGGCGCACGGGUGAGUAACACGUAUCCAACCUGCCGUCUACUCUUGGACAGCCUUCUGAAAGGAAGAUUAAUACAAGAUGGCAUCAUGAGUCCGCAUGUUCACAUGAUUAAAGGUAUUCCGGUAGACGAUGGGGAUGCGUUCCAUUAGAUAGUAGGCGGGGUAACGGCCCACCUAGUCUUCGAUGGAUAGGGGUUCUGAGAGGAAGGUCCCCCACAUUGGAACUGAGACACGGUCCAAACUCCUACGGGAGGCAGCAGUGAGGAAUAUUGGUCAAUGGGCGAGAGCCUGAACCAGCCAAGUAGCGUGAAGGAUGACUGCCCUAUGGGUUGUAAACUUCUUUUAUAAAGGAAUAAAGUCGGGUAUGGAUACCCGUUUGCAUGUACUUUAUGAAUAAGGAUCGGCUAACUCCGUGCCAGCAGCCGCGGUAAUACGGAGGAUCCGAGCGUUAUCCGGAUUUAUUGGGUUUAAAGGGAGCGUAGAUGGAUGUUUAAGUCAGUUGUGAAAGUUUGCGGCUCAACCGUAAAAUUGCAGUUGAUACUGGAUAUCUUGAGUGCAGUUGAGGCAGGCGGAAUUCGUGGUGUAGCGGUGAAAUGCUUAGAUAUCACGAAGAACUCCGAUUGCGAAGGCAGCCUGCUAAGCUGCAACUGACAUUGAGGCUCGAAAGUGUGGGUAUCAAACAGGAUUAGAUACCCUGGUAGUCCACACGGUAAACGAUGAAUACUCGCUGUUUGCGAUAUACUGCAAGCGGCCAAGCGAAAGCGUUAAGUAUUCCACCUGGGGAGUACGCCGGCAACGGUGAAACUCAAAGGAAUUGACGGGGGCCCGCACAAGCGGAGGAACAUGUGGUUUAAUUCGAUGAUACGCGAGGAAUCUUACCCGGGCUUAAAUUGCAGAUGAAUUACGGUGAAAGCCGUAAGCCGCAAGGCAUCUGUGAAGGUGCUGCAUGGUUGUCGUCAGCUCGUGCCGUGAGGUGUCGGCUUAAGUGCCAUAACGAGCGCAACCCUUGUUGUCAGUUACUAACAGGUUCCGCUGAGGACUCUGACAAGACUGCCAUCGUAAGAUGUGAGGAAGGUGGGGAUGACGUCAAAUCAGCACGGCCCUUACGUCCGGGGCUACACACGUGUUACAAUGGGGGGUACAGAGGGCCGCUACCACGCGAGUGGAUGCCAAUCCCCAAAACCUCUCUCAGUUCGGACUGGAGUCUGCAACCCGACUCCACGAAGCUGGAUUCGCUAGUAAUCGCGCAUCAGCCACGGCGCGGUGAAUACGUUCCCGGGCCUUGUACACACCGCCCGUCAAGCCAUGGGAGCCGGGGGUACCUGAAGUGCGUAACCGCGAGGAGCGCCCUAGGGUAAAACUGGUGACUGGGGC
This 1437-nucleotide ribosomal RNA is filed under the name uncultured organism. RNAcentral's name for it is "SSU rRNA". It matches the Rfam family "Bacterial small subunit ribosomal RNA". The record is from RNAcentral.